CUGAGACCGGUGCCCCCAGAGAAAGGAGUCUUCCCUUUGGACCAUAUGCACCUCUGCGACCUGGAGAAGAAAGAAUACCUCAAUUGUCUCAAAACCUCUGGUCACCAAUCUGAAAAGUGCAGGCACUUAUCAAAAAAAUACCUUGAAUGCCGUAUGGAGAAGAAUUUAAUGGCAAAGCAAGACAUGACGGAGCUAGGAUUUGGAAAUUUGAGUCAGGCCAGUUUGUCUGGUGAUAAAUUGGAUCAAGUCUAAAUUGUUCUUCCAUAAAUAACCGUGAUCGAAG
Molecule: unclassified non-coding RNA, 283 nt
Filed under: Hevea brasiliensis (rubber tree)
Lineage: Eukaryota; Viridiplantae; Streptophyta; Magnoliopsida; Malpighiales; Euphorbiaceae
Source: RNAcentral